CCGGAAACCAUGAUCCCACAGAGCAGAAGUGGGAGGGGACCGUGGAGCUGAACCACAGGCCCAUACCCGCGGCCGAGCCUGUCCAGAAACCAGAAAGGAGCCCAGCACGAGCCCGGAGGUUUGAUGUCAGUAUUUCAGCGGGAGUAAAAUGAUCCACUCGGUGGGGAAAUCCAUAGGGAUGUACCGUGUGAGCUUCAGUGGUCUUCAGGCUCCCCACAGCCCUGAGCAUCCCUGCCCCUUGCACUGUCCCUUCCUCCCCACAAUCCCCUCUCUCCGGGACCUGGGCUGUUGCUUGCGGGCCUCAGAUCCAUAGCCUUCACGUUUCUGUGGCAUUUUUGUAGGCACCAAAGUUUAAAUAAAAUGCUCAUAUAAAGAAAACAUGA
Myodes glareolus (Bank vole) is the source of this 383-nucleotide long non-coding RNA. RefSeq lists it as uncharacterized. The record is from RefSeq and is a predicted model, not a curated record. NCBI's taxonomy places the organism in Eukaryota, Metazoa, Chordata, Mammalia, Rodentia, Cricetidae.